Non-coding RNA from Xenopus laevis (African clawed frog), 180 nucleotides. Lineage: Eukaryota; Metazoa; Chordata; Amphibia; Anura; Pipidae. The record is from Rfam.
GCAGGCCUGUGUGCACAGUGACAGUCUGUGUCUGUGGAGCAACUAGCUUGUGUUUUGCAUGCUGGCAGUUUCAUACACGCGUCCCCUGCAGCCCAAGACUAACGUGAGAUCAUAGUACUGGUCUAGUGAUGUCUAAAAGACACCUCUACCACUGGCCAGCCUCCAAUCUCUCAGACACAG